UCGGCGAGCGGCGGACGGCUGAGUAACGCGCUGGGAAUCUACCCCUAAAGUGAGGGAUAACCGCCCGAAAGGGUGGCUAAUACCGCAUAUGAUCUUCGGAUUAAAGGAUUUAUCCGCUUUAGGAAGAGCCCGCGUUAGAUUAGGUAGUUGGUAGGGUAAUGGCCUACCAAGCCAACGAUCUAUAGCUGGUCUGAGAGGAUGAUCAGCCAGACUGGAACUGAGACACGGUCCAGACUCCUACGGGAGGCAGCAGUGAGGAAUCUUCCACAAUGGGCGAAAGCCUGAUGGAGCAACGCCGCGUGAAGGAUGAAGGCCUUCGGGUUGUAAACUUCUUUUAUGAGUGAAGAAUAUGACGGUAACUCAUGAAUAAGCACCGGCUAACUACGUGCCAGCAGCCGCGGUCAUACGUAGGGUGCAAGCAUUAUCCGGAGUGACUGGGCGUAAAGAGUUGCGUAAGC
Molecule: ribosomal RNA, 458 nt
Filed under: uncultured bacterium
Lineage: Bacteria
Description: bacterial SSU rRNA
Rfam family: Bacterial small subunit ribosomal RNA
Source: RNAcentral